GAUGAACGCUGGCGGCGUGCCUAAUACAUGCAAGUCGAGCGAACAGACGAGGAGCCUGCUCCUCUGACGUUAGCGGCGGACGGGAGAGUAACACGUGUAUAACCUACCUAUAAGACUGGGAUAACUUCGGGAAACCGGAGCUAAUCCCGGAUAAUAUAUUGAACCGCAUGGUGCAAUGGUGAAAUACGGUUUUGCUGUCACUUAUAGCUGGAUCCGCGCUGCAUUGGCUAGUUGGUAAGGUCACGGGUUACCAAGGCAACGAUGCGUAGCCGAACUGAGAGGGUGGUCGGCCACACUGGAAGUGAAACAGGGUCCAGACUCCUACGGGACGCAGCAGUAGGGAAUGUGCCGCAACGGGCGAAAGCCUUACGGAGCAGCGCCGCGUGAGUGAUGAAGGUCUUCGGAUCGUAAAACUCUGUUAUUAGUGAAGAACAAAUUUGUAAGUAACUAUGCACGUCGUGACGGUACCUAAUAAGAAAGCCACGGCUAACUACGUG
RNAcentral lists this ribosomal RNA (497 nucleotides) under uncultured bacterium. RNAcentral's name for it is "partial 16S ribosomal RNA". It matches the Rfam family "Bacterial small subunit ribosomal RNA", at positions 28 to 507 of the family's 1533-position model. The record is from RNAcentral.